GGGCUCGUAGUUCAAUGGAUAGAAUAGGGACCUCCUAAGUCUUAGAUGCAGGUUCGAUUCCUGCCGAGCCUACCA
RNAcentral lists this transfer RNA (75 nucleotides) under Gammaproteobacteria bacterium. Its description in RNAcentral is "tRNA-Arg". It matches the Rfam family "tRNA". Rfam says of the family: Transfer RNA (tRNA) molecules are approximately 80 nucleotides in length. Their secondary structure includes four short double-helical elements and three loops (D, anti-codon, and T loops). Further hydrogen bonds mediate the characteristic L-shaped molecular structure. tRNAs have two regions of fundamental functional importance: the anti-codon, which is responsible for specific mRNA codon recognition, and the 3' end, to which the tRNAs corresponding amino acid is attached (by aminoacyl-tRNA synthetases). tRNAs cope with the degeneracy of the genetic code in two manners: having more than one tRNA (with a specific anti-codon) for a particular amino acid; and 'wobble' base-pairing, i.e. permitting non-standard base-pairing at the 3rd anti-codon position. The record is from RNAcentral. Lineage: Bacteria; Pseudomonadati; Pseudomonadota; Gammaproteobacteria.